RNAcentral lists this ribosomal RNA (253 nucleotides) under uncultured bacterium. Its description in RNAcentral is "partial 16S ribosomal RNA". It matches the Rfam family "Bacterial small subunit ribosomal RNA", at positions 524 to 776 of the family's 1533-position model. The record is from RNAcentral.
UACGAAGGGUGCAAGCGUUACUCGGAAUUACUGGGCGUAAAGCGUGCGUAGGUGGUGAGUUAAGUCUGUCGUGAAAGCCCCGGGCUCAACCUGGGAAUGGCGAUGGAUACUGGCUCGCUAGAGUGCGGUAGAGGAGAGUGGAAUUCCCGGUGUAGCAGUGAAAUGCGUAGAGAUCGGGAGGAACAUCAGUUGCGCAGGCGGCUCUCUGGACCAGCACUGACACUGAGGCACGAAAGCGUGGGGAGCAAACCGG